RNAcentral lists this ribosomal RNA (301 nucleotides) under uncultured bacterium. Its description in RNAcentral is "partial 16S ribosomal RNA". It matches the Rfam family "Bacterial small subunit ribosomal RNA", at positions 509 to 808 of the family's 1533-position model. The record is from RNAcentral.
CAGUCGCCGCGGUAAUACGUAUGUCACAAGCGUUAUCCGGAUUUAUUGGGCGUAAAGCGCGUCUAGGUGGUUAUGUAAGUCUGAUGUGAAAAUGCAGGGCUCAACUCUGUAUUGCGUUGGAAACUGUGUAACUAGAGUACUGGAGAGGUAAGCGGAACUACAAGUGUAGAGGUGAAAUUCGUAGAUAUUUGUAGGAAUGCCGAUGGGGAAGCCAGCUUACUGGACAGAUACUGACGCUGAGGCUCGAAAGCGUGGGGAGCAAACAGGAUUAGAUACCCCUGUAGUCCCUGUCUCUUAUACA